This 1314-nucleotide ribosomal RNA is filed under the name Crenosoma goblei. RNAcentral describes it as "SSU rRNA". It matches the Rfam family "Eukaryotic small subunit ribosomal RNA", at positions 50 to 1450 of the family's 1831-position model. The record is from RNAcentral. Lineage: Eukaryota; Metazoa; Nematoda; Chromadorea; Rhabditida; Crenosomatidae.
CAUGCAUGCGGAGUUCAGCUUAAAGUGAAACUGCGAACGGCUCAUUAGAGCAGAUGUGAUUUAUUCGGAAAAUCCAUUUGGAUAACUGCGGUAAUUCUGGAGCUAAUACAUGCGAUUAAACCCUGACUAUUGAAAGGGUGCAAUUAUUAGAGCAAAUCAAUCAUUUUCGGAUGUAGUUUGCUGACUCUGAAUAACGCAGCAUAUCGGCGGCUUGUUCGCCGAUAAUCCGAAAAAGUGUCUGCCCUAUCAACCUGAUGGUAGUCUAUUAGUCUACCAUGGUUAUUACGGGUAACGGAGAAUAAGGGUUCGACUCCGGAGAGGGAGCCUUAGAAACGGCUACCACAUCCAAGGAAGGCAGCAGGCGCGAAACUUAUCCAAUCUUGAAUAGAUGAGAUAGUGACUAAAAAUAAAAAGACCAUUCCUAUGGAACGGUCAUUUCAAUGAGUUGAUCAUAAACCUUUUUUCGAGGAUCAAGUGGAGGGCAAGUCUGGUGCCAGCAGCCGCGGUAAUUCCAGCUCCACUAGUGUAAAUCGUCAUUGCUGCGGUUAAAAAGCUCGUAGUUGGAUCUGAGUCGCAUGCAGUAGUUCGCCUUUGGCGUUAAUUACUGUUGUGACUAUUUGCUGGUUUUCUAUUGAAAUUUCGAUUUCUUUAGUGGCUAGCGAGUUUACUUUGAAUAAAUUAGAGUGCUCAGAACAAGCGUUUGCUUGAAUGGUCGAUCAUGGAAUAAUAAAAGAGGACUUCGGUUCUAUUUAUUGGUUCAGGAACUGAAAUAAUGGUUAAGAGGGACAAUUCGGGGGCAUUCGUAUCCCUGCGCGAGAGGUGAAAUUCGUGGACCGCAGGGGGACGCCCUAAAGCGAAAGCAUUUGCCAAGAAUGUCUUCAUUAAUCAAGAACGAAAGUCAGAGGUUCGAAGGCGAUUAGAUACCGCCCUAGUUCUGACCGUAAACUAUGCCAUCUAGCGAUCCGAUGGGGUAUUGUUGCCUUGUCGAGGAGCUUCCCGGAAACGAAAGUCUUUCGGUUCCUGGGGUAGUAUGGUUGCAAAGCUGAAACUUAAAGAAAUUGACGGAAUGGCACCACCAGGAGUGGAGCCUGCGGCUUAAUUUGACUCAACACGGGAAAACUCACCCGGCCCGGACACCGUAAGGAUUGACAGAUUGAAAGCUCUUUCUCGMUUYGGUGGUUGGUGGUGCAUGGCCGUUCUUAGUUGGCGGAGCGAUUUGUCUGGUUUACUCCGAUAACGAGCGAGACUCUAGCCUGCUAAAUAGUGACUAGAUUUUUAUGUCUAGUCUACUUCUUAGAGGGAUAAGCGGUGUUU